RNAcentral lists this long non-coding RNA (2307 nucleotides) under Canis lupus familiaris (dog). RNAcentral describes it as "lncRNA (ENSCAFG00845020964.1)". Lineage: Eukaryota; Metazoa; Chordata; Mammalia; Carnivora; Canidae. The record is from RNAcentral.
CUUUAAUCUUGUUUUGCUAUUGGUGUAUACUGUUCGGGAAAAUUCUCCUGCAAUUCUUGGCCAAUUAAUCCCCCACAAAAACAUGAGAAUGCCUUCUGCUGGCGCCUUUGUACACAGUCAAAGGAAUGAUAUUCACGCUUAAAGAUAGUUGAGAUCAGACACAAAGGGUUAAUCCCAAUGAGCAGACAGCGCGAUUUCUGAUUGAACAAAGAACACUUUAUUGAGUGCUGCCUGGGUGCGGGGAGAAGGGCGGGAUGACCCAGAUGGGAGGCAAGAUCCUCCUGGAGGUCCUGAGGCUCCGGGCCCCCUUCGGUGGGCGGGGCCGUCGGGAACCUAAGAGCACUCUGCGGGGGCCACCUUCUUCUCCACGGUGCUCCCCUCGUGCGUGACCAGGCAGCUGAAGCUGCUGUGAGAUUUCCACUUGUCAGGCGUCAGGCUCAGGUAGCUGCUGGCCGCGUACUUGUUGUUGCUCUGCUUGGAGGGCUUGGUGGUCUCCACGCCCUGGGUGACGGGGCUGCCGUCUGCCUUCCAGGCCACCGUCACGCCGCUGGGGUAGAAGUCGCUGAUGAGGCACACCAGGGUGGCCUUGUUGGCGCCGAGCUCCUCAGAGGAGGGCGGGAAGAGUGUGACCGAGGGGGAGGCCUUGGGCUGACCUGUGGGGACGGAAGGCCGGUGGGUCAAGGCAGAUGUUUGUUGUGUCAGCACCUACCUGAGUGCUGGUGUGGGGGUACAGCUGUGUCCUGUCCAUGUUUUGGGCCUCAGGCAGCCCUUGUUCCUCGAGGUCAGUUCACCUAUGGCAUUAGGAUAAGUCACCUUCCGUUGGGGAGCAUCCGAAUAUACAAUUUUGGAAGAUCUGGGCCUCCCUAUCAUGUCCUCCCUCUCCAUCGUCACAUGACCUAUCACUCACCUUUAUACCCCAAGGGUUCCCUUGUUAGUGGAUUUAUCAGCAGGACACUUGGUCUUUCCCUGUGGAAUCUGUCUGUCCUGUGCAUGUCUUGCUAGGUCUAAGUCUGGGGUCUGUUCAUGUAGACCUCAUCUGUCUGUCAUGGUCCUAGGGUCUCAUCCCUUUUGGGUGGGCUUUUCUUGACCAUGUUCCCCCUGAAUCCAUCAAUGCACCCCUGGCCACUUCCUCACAGAGAUCCUCUGAGGCUGCCUGAGGUGGAGAGAGAGUCUGCCAUGGGAUGCAUUCCAGUACAGUCGGUGGAGGGUUAGUGGAAGAGGUGUGUCUGGAGCAGGGGCUUUUCUUAGGGGUCCCUUUGCCCAGGACCCUAUCCUGGGGAUCAGCCUGUCCAAGCACUGCAGUACCUGGCAGAGGUAGGAUCAAUUCCUGUCUCUGUUGGUCACCUAUCACCAGAUGCCCCAGCAUCUGCUCAGAAAUCUGUCUUCCAGCAUUUGUAUGGGGUUGAGAAAUUCUUGGGGCUUGAGUGGCUCGAGCCCCAUCCUGUCUGAGGAGAUCCUGCCUGUCUUGGAAGAGAAAGAGGGACCCUGCUCUCUGAAGCCACCUUGUCAUAAGAUAUCCUUUUUUAGUCCUUGUGUUCAUUGCUGAGUCCUCCUCAUGUCUUGCACAGCCUAGAGUCCCUAGUAGUCCCUCACUAGACCUCACGUAGAACUCGGAGAGCACAGGACUGAAGUGUGACACAUGCUUGGGCAGUUGAGCUUUGCCAGCACCUUUUCCAUGUCCCAUGGCCUUGCUGCCCCAGCUCGAGUCCCCCAGUCCUGUGCUUCUUCAGUCCCUCAUUCCCCAUAUAUGGGAUCCAGGAGACCUGAGUGGGCUCCCUACUACAGAGUCCGGGGAGACUCCCCUAGAGACCACUCAGGAUCAGAGUGAGGGCGAACAGAAGGAGUCUCUGGGACCUUCCUGUCCUGUUCAGCCCUGACCAGGAGAGUCUGAGAAGAGAGAACAGGGUGACGCGGUUUGGGGGUGACCCAACAGAGAAGGUGCUGGGCCCCAGAGAGGUUCAGACCCCAGCCACAGUCAGGAAAGAAAGGAGAGGAAAAUGUCCAAUAUAUCACUCUGGUCCCCAAAGAGAGGGAAAGGGGGAGACUCACCAAGGACGGUCAGUUGGGUUCCUGAGCCGAACACGUAACACAGUGAUACAGCCUUGAACACAAACCCUCUGUCACCCCUGCAGCCCCUCCCCUGCCCCAGGCCCAUGUGCAGCUGGCUGCUUUGGAGGCUCAAAGUCCAGCCUCCUCUUCUUGGGGUCUGUUCUGGCGCAUGGGCUCUUGGGUGCAGCCCCCUCCCCACCUGUCCUUUCAUUUCCUUCAGUGUUUGAGUGACAUAUCCUAUCCCAGGUAGUUUCCUGG